Molecule: ribosomal RNA, 379 nt
Filed under: uncultured eukaryote
Lineage: Eukaryota
Description: partial 18S ribosomal RNA
Rfam family: Eukaryotic small subunit ribosomal RNA
Source: RNAcentral
CAAUAGCGUAUAUUUAAGUUGUUGCAGUUAAAAAGCUCGUAGUUGGAUUUCGGAUGGGAUUUGCCGGUCCGUCGUUACGAUGUGCACUGGCCAGUCCUAUCUUGUUGUCGGGGACUAGCUCCUUGGAUUCACUUCCUGGGACUAGGAGAUGACGAGGUUACUUUGAGUAAAUUAGAGUGUUCAAAGCAAGCCUACGCUCUGAAUACAUUAGCAUGGAAUAACACGAUAGGACUCUGGCUUAUCUUGUUGGUCUGUGAGACCAGAGUAAUGAUUAAGAGGGACAGUCGGGGACAUUCGUAUUUCAUUGUCAGAGGUGAAAUUCUUGGAUUUAUGAAAGACGAACUUCUGCGAAAGCAUUUGUCAAGGAUGUUUNCAUUAA